Molecule: ribosomal RNA, 482 nt
Filed under: uncultured bacterium
Lineage: Bacteria
Description: partial 16S ribosomal RNA
Rfam family: Bacterial small subunit ribosomal RNA
Source: RNAcentral
AUUGAACGCUGGCGGCAUGCCUUACACAUGCAAGUCGAACGGUAACGGGCCUUCGGGUGCCGACGAGUGGCGAACGGGUGAGUAAUACAUCGGAACGUGCCCGAUCGUGGGGGAUAACGAGGCGAAAGCUUUGCUAAUACCGCAUACGAUCUACGGAUGAAAGCAGGGGACCGCAAGGCCUUGCGCGGGCGGAGCGGCCGAUGGCAGAUUAGGUAGUUGGUGGGAUAAAAGCUUACCAAGCCGACGAUCUGUAGCUGGUCUGAGAGGAUGAUCAGCCACACUGGGACUGAGACACGGCCCAGACUCCUACGGGAGGCAGCAGUGGGGAAUGUUGGACAAUGGGCGCAAGCCUGAUCCAGCCAUGCCGCGUGCAGGAUGAAGGCCUUCGGGUUGUAAACUGCUUUUGUACGGAACGAAAAGCCUUCUUUUAAUACAGGAGGGUCAUGACGGUACCGUAAGAAUAAGCACCGGCUAACUACGUG